This 301-nucleotide ribosomal RNA is filed under the name uncultured bacterium. RNAcentral describes it as "partial 16S ribosomal RNA". It matches the Rfam family "Bacterial small subunit ribosomal RNA", at positions 509 to 807 of the family's 1533-position model. The record is from RNAcentral.
CAGUCGCCGCGGUAAUACGUAGGUGGCAAGCGUUGUCCGGAAUUAUUGGGCGUAAAGCGCGCGCGGGUGGUUUAAUAAGUCUGAUGUGAAAGCCCACGGCUCAACCGUGGAGGGUCAUUGGAAACUGUUAAACUUGAGUGCAGGAGAGAAAAGUUGAAUUCCUAGUGUAGCGGUGAAAUGCGUAGAGAUUAGGAGGAACACCAGUGGCGAAGGCGGCUUUUUGGCCUGUAACUGACACUGAAGCGCGAAAGCGUGGGGAGCAAACAGGAUUAGAUACCCGUGUAGUCCCUGUCUCUUAUAC